CCUACGAGUGGCAGCAGUGGGGAAUAUUGGGCAAUGGGCGCAAGCCUGACCCAGCAACGCCGCGUGAAGGAAGAAGGCUUUCGGGUUGUAAACUUCUUUUGACAGGGAAGAGUAGAAGACGGUACCUGUCGAAUAAGACACGGCUAACUAAGUGCCAGCAGCCGCGGUAAUACGUAGGUGGCAAGCGUUGUCCGGAAUUACUGGGUGUAAAGGGCGUGUAGCCGGGUUGACAAGUCAGUUGUGAAAUCCUGCGGGUUAACCGAAGAACUGCAUUUGAAACUGUUGAUCUUGAGUACUGGAGAGGCAGACGGAAUUCCUGGUGUAGCGGUGAAAUGCGUAGAUAUUAGGAGGAACACCAGUGGCGAAGGCAGUCUGCUGGACAGCAACUGACGGUGAGGCGCGAAAGCGUGGGGAGCAAACAGGAUUAGAUACCCGGGUAGUC
This 442-nucleotide ribosomal RNA is filed under the name uncultured bacterium. Its description in RNAcentral is "partial 16S ribosomal RNA". It matches the Rfam family "Bacterial small subunit ribosomal RNA", at positions 338 to 795 of the family's 1533-position model. The record is from RNAcentral.